This 498-nucleotide ribosomal RNA is filed under the name uncultured bacterium. RNAcentral describes it as "bacterial SSU rRNA". It matches the Rfam family "Bacterial small subunit ribosomal RNA", at positions 29 to 523 of the family's 1533-position model. The record is from RNAcentral.
AAUGAACGCUGGCGGCGUGCUUAACACAUGCAAGUCGAGCGAGAAAGUUGCUUCGGCAAUGAGUACAGCGGCGAACGGUUGAGUAACACGUGAGAAUCUACCCUUUAGUGAAGAAUACCCUCGAGAAAUCGAGGUUAAUACUGCAUACGUCCCUUCGGGGAGAAAGGCGGCCUAAUUUGCUGUCGCUAAAGGAUGAGCUUGCGGACUAUCAGCUAGUUGGUGGGGUAAAGGCCUACCAAGGCUAUGACGGUUAGCCGGCCCGAGAGGGUGACCGGCCAGACUGGAACUUAGACACGGUCCAGACUCCUACGGGAGGCAGCAGUGAGGAAUCUUGCGCAAUGGGCGAAAGCCUGACGCAGCGACGCCGCGUGGAGGAUGAAGGUCUUCGGAUUGUAAACUCCUGUUAAGUGGGAAGAAAUCCUCAUUUCUAAUACAGAUGAGGGAUGACGGUACCAUUAGAGAAAGCACUGGCUAACCUCGUGCCAGCAGCCGCGGUAA